This 592-nucleotide long non-coding RNA is filed under the name Heterocephalus glaber (naked mole-rat). RNAcentral's name for it is "lncRNA (ENSHGLG00000037593.1)". Lineage: Eukaryota; Metazoa; Chordata; Mammalia; Rodentia; Bathyergidae. The record is from RNAcentral.
CUCAGGAAUGUCCCUGAGAUGGCUCAUGGCUGAGUCGCUGAGCGGCCGUGACUCAGCCAGUUUCCGCCCUGGCUGUCUGUCUGUCCGUCAGUCGGUCUGUCUGGGAGUCUGCCUCCUCCGAGGGCACUGGUGGGAGAUUCCAGUCAGCCGUGUUCCCGCUGGGAAGUGGAAAGCUCAGGAAGAAAUUCAAACACAUCUCUCCGUUACACUUCACUGUAACCCGGUGUUUCUUUAUGAUCGAAGCCAGUGCUCAACAUCAGACAUUGGACGAAGAGGAAGGUAGUGCUGAGGAGCCCAAUAGAUUGCUGUCCUGAGAUUCAUAUUCCAGUGGAGAGCAGGGAAAACAGAAGGUACAAACUGCCAGACGAGACCACUUCUGCAACUACGUUAUAGAAUGGCUUGCAAAUGCUGAAAAUAUAGAUGUCGGAUCAUCUUGUGAGAUGUGCUUAAGAUUAUGAACAUUGUGCAUAAAAUUGAAAACACUCAACUCAGAAAAGGGCUUUGGUCUCUUGUUCUGAAGUUCUUCAGGAACUAAGGGCAGGAGUCGGUGAGGAGGCUGUCUCCUCCAUACCACACACAGUGAAUCUCCUCA